This 32-nucleotide non-coding RNA is filed under the name unclassified sequences. The record is from RNAcentral.
CUAUGUCUAGAUAUUAGAUAUGGCGGAAGGAG